CCUACGGGUGGCAGCAGUGGGGAAUAUUGCACAAUGGGGGAAACCCUGAUGCAGCGACGCCGCGUGAGUGAAGAAGUAUUUCGGUACGUAAAGCUCUAUCAGCAGGGAAGAAAAUGACGGUACCUGACUAAGAAGCCCCGGCUAACUACGUGCCAGCAGCCGCGGUAAUACGUAGGGGGCAAGCGUGAUCCGGAUUUACUGGGUGUAAAGGGAGCGUAGACGGCAGCGCAAGUCUGGAGUGAAAUCCCAUGGCUUAACCAUGGAACUGCUUUGGAAACUGUGCAGCUAGAGUGCAGGAGAGGUAAGCGGAAUUCCUAGUGUAGCGGUGAAAUGCGUAGAUAUUAGGAGGAACACCAGUGGCGAAGGCGGCUUACUGGACUGUAACUGACGUUGAGACUCGAAAGCGUGGGGAGCAAACAGGAUUAGAUACCCGAGUAGUC
This 440-nucleotide ribosomal RNA is filed under the name uncultured bacterium. Its description in RNAcentral is "partial 16S ribosomal RNA". It matches the Rfam family "Bacterial small subunit ribosomal RNA", at positions 338 to 795 of the family's 1533-position model. The record is from RNAcentral.